GAUGAACGCUGGCGGCGUGCCUAAUACAUGCAAGUCGAGCGAACGGACGAGAAGCUUGCUUCUCUGAUGUUAGCGGCGGACGGGUGAGUAACACGUGGAUAACCUACCUAUAAGACUGUGAUAACUUCGGGAAACCGGAGCUAAUACCGGAUAAUAUUUUGAACCGCAUGGUUCAUAAGUGAAAGACGGUCUUGCUGUCACUUAUAGAUGGAUCCGCGCUGCAUUAGCUAGUUGGUAAGGUAACGGCUUACCAAGGCAACGAUGCAUAGCCGACCUGAGAGGGUGAUCGGCCACACUGGAACUGAGACACGGUCCAGACUCCUACGGGAGGCAGCAGUAGGGAAUCUUCCGCAAUGGGCGAAAGCCUGACGGAGCAACGCCGCGUGAGUGAUGAAGGUCUUCGGAUCGUAAAACUCUGUUAUUAGGGAAGAACAUAUGUGUAAGUAACUGUGCACAUCUUGACGGUACCUAAUCAGAAAGCCACGGCUAACUACGUG
RNAcentral lists this ribosomal RNA (497 nucleotides) under uncultured bacterium. RNAcentral describes it as "partial 16S ribosomal RNA". It matches the Rfam family "Bacterial small subunit ribosomal RNA", at positions 28 to 507 of the family's 1533-position model. The record is from RNAcentral.